AUGAGUUCUAUCUCUUUGCAGAUGGGGAGCAUGCCACUAUAUAAAUCCCAGGUGCCAAUGCAAUGCCAACUCACCUGCCCGCUGGCUGCCGGGUGCCCCCACAAUAUGGCUCCGGACAGGCUGGCUGCGCCCCUCCUUGAUCUCGAUGGUGAAGAGGGUUUUCAUGGCCUCGUCGUCGUCCCGGUGGGGCUGUGCCAAAGGGUUGCGGGAGGUGCCACCCGGCUGGGCAUGGGGCUCCUCUGCACUGCCGGUGCUCCCCUUGGCAUUUUCAACCAAGGCAGCCCUCGGCUUGCCGCCCAGCCAUUGGCUGCCUUGGCUCCGCCCCGCAGGAGUGCCCGCCUCUUUGGGGCCGGCCGAGAAGGAGGAGGAGGUCGUCGGUUUGGGCACCUGCUCUGUGCCAACCUCUGCUGCCCGUUUGGGGGUCUGCAGCCCAGGCGGGAACUCUCUGGAGGGGGGGCGCAGCUGCUGCAGGACCCGGGAGCCUUUGCCGGGACCCUCCGCCUUUGUCGCCGGGGGCUCGGCGCUGAACUUGCGUGCCCGUUCCCAGACCGAGCCCGAUCGCUGGAAAGGCUGCUCCCGGUGGGCAUCUGCCCAGAGAGAGAGAGAGAAAGGGAGGGAGGGAGGGAGGUGAGCGCCGGUUUGGGAAGGGAGCCAAACAUCUCCGGCUACACAACAUGGAUCCCGACUGUAAAGUGCAGACUAGAAGCAGGAGCGGAGGCAUCGCCCCGGCCUCGAUGCCCUGCAGAGAGGGCACUCCGAGUGUUACCUGCGCUGCCCUUUGGAGGUGGCACGGAGGGCGCUGUUUCGCAGCCGCGGGCAUCUAAGGGGGCCGGGCCCUUGGAGUUGGCUGCUGGCAGAGCUGUUGAGGAAAGAGAGAGGAAAGGAGAACUUCCACAAGAGUACAAAGAAGUAUGUCCAAACGUCUGUCAAACGGAUAUCCAAUUGGGAAGCAACCCAGGGAUCUAUAGAGGCCAACAAGGUCUCCAAAACAUGGCAGCGUGGCACUCCUAA
Molecule: long non-coding RNA, 1011 nt
Filed under: Anolis carolinensis (green anole)
Lineage: Eukaryota; Metazoa; Chordata; Lepidosauria; Squamata; Anolidae
Description: lncRNA (ENSACAG00000039365.1)
Source: RNAcentral